Molecule: ribosomal RNA, 631 nt
Filed under: uncultured bacterium
Lineage: Bacteria
Description: bacterial SSU rRNA
Rfam family: Bacterial small subunit ribosomal RNA
Source: RNAcentral
CUGGGCGUAAGCGCACGCAGGCGGUCUGUCAAGUCGGAUGUGAAAUCCCCGGGCUCAACCUGGGAACUGCAUUCGAAACUGGCAGGCUAGAGUCUUGUAGAGGGGGGUAGAAUUCCAGGUGUAGCGGUGAAAUGCGUAGAGAUCUGGAGGAAUACCGGUGGCGAAGGCGGCCCCCUGGACAAAGACUGACGCUCAGGUGCGAAAGCGUGGGGAGCAAACAGGAUUAGAUACCCUGGUAGUCCACGCCGUAAACGAUGUCGACUUGGAGGUUGUUCCCUUGAGGAGUGGCUUCCGGAGCUAACGCGUUAAGUCGACCGCCUGGGGAGUACGGCCGCAAGGUUAAAACUCAAAUGAAUUGACGGGGGCCCGCACAAGCGGUGGAGCAUGUGGUUUAAUUCGAUGCAACGCGAAGAACCUUACCUACUCUUGACAUCCAGAGAACUUUCCAGAGAUGGAUUGGUGCCUUCGGGAACUCUGAGACAGGUGCUGCAUGGCUGUCGUCAGCUCGUGUUGUGAAAUGUUGGGUUAAGUCCCGCAACGAGCGCAACCCUUAUCCUUUGUUGCCAGCGGCUAGGCCGGGAACUCAAAGGAGACUGCCAGUGAUAAACUGGAGGAAGGUGGGGAUGACGUC